UGCAAGCCGAACGGUAACAGAACUAGCUUGCUAGUUGCUGACGAGUGGCGGACGGGUGAGUAAUACUUAGGGAUCUGCCUCUGUGUGGGGGAUAACUAUUGGAAACGAUAGCUAAUACCGCAUAACGUCUACGGACCAAAGAGGGCUUCGGCUCUCGCGCAGAGAGGAACCUAAGCGAGAUUAGCUUGUUGGUGAGGUAAAGGCUCACCAAGGCGACGAUCUCUAGCUGUUCUGAGAGGAAGAUCAGCCACACUGGAACUGAGACACGGUCCAGACUCCUACGGGAGGCAGCAGUGGGGAAUAUUGCACAAUGGGGGCAACCCUGAUGCAGCCAUGCCGCGUGUGUGAAGAAGGCCUUCGGGUUGUAAAGCACUUUCAGUUGUGAGGAAAGGUUAGUAGUUAAUACCUGCUAGCUGUGACGUUAACAACAGAAGAAGCACCGGCUAACUCCGUGCCAGCAGCCGCGGUAAUACGGAGGGUGCGAGCGUUAAUCGGAAUUACUGGGCGUAAAGCGCACGCAGGCGGUCUGUUAAGCUAGAUGUGAAAGCCCCGCGCUCAACGUGGGAGGGUCAUUUAGAACUGGCAGACUAGAGUCUUGGAGAGGGGAGUGGAAUUCCAGGUGUAGCGGUGAAAUGCGUAGAGAUCUGGAGGAACAUCAAUGGCGAA
Molecule: ribosomal RNA, 666 nt
Filed under: uncultured bacterium
Lineage: Bacteria
Description: bacterial SSU rRNA
Rfam family: Bacterial small subunit ribosomal RNA
Source: RNAcentral